GGCUGGUCCGCGUGCGGUGGUGUUUACAAUUAAUUGAUCACAGCCAGUUACGGAUUUCUUUGUUUCUUCUCCACUCCCACUGCUUCACAUGACUUAAA
Molecule: Y RNA, 98 nt
Filed under: Physeter macrocephalus (sperm whale)
Lineage: Eukaryota; Metazoa; Chordata; Mammalia; Artiodactyla; Physeteridae
Description: Physeter catodon (sperm whale) Y RNA (ENSPCTG00005004763.1)
Rfam family: Y RNA
About the family: Y RNAs are components of the Ro ribonucleoprotein particle (Ro RNP), in association with Ro60 and La proteins. The Y RNAs and Ro60 and La proteins are well conserved, but the function of the Ro RNP is not known.
Source: Rfam by way of RNAcentral